This 104-nucleotide small nuclear RNA is filed under the name Pteropus vampyrus (large flying fox). Lineage: Eukaryota; Metazoa; Chordata; Mammalia; Chiroptera; Pteropodidae. The record is from RNAcentral.
GUGCUCACUUCGGCAGCACAUGUACUAAAAUCGGAAGGAUACAGAGAUGAGCGUGGGUCCUGCACAAGGAUGACACGCAAAUUCGUGAAGCGUUCCAUAUUUUU